CAUGGAACCACGGCUGUGGUCUCCAAAGGAAAGAAGGCCCGCCUUGAGGCACUUCAAACUCCAGCAAGGAUUGCCAAACCUUCGAAGCUGGUACCUCCCCCUCGACCUGUUCCAGAAGCUGCUGUACCAGCUACUCUGGAGGGCGUACCUCCUCCUCGACCUGUUCCAGAAGCUGCUGUACCAGCUACUCUGGAGGGCGUACCUCCUCCUCGACCUGUUCCAGAAGCUGCUGUGCCAGCCACUCUGGAGGGCAGCGUCUUUGUGCAUUCGAGCAAGGUAAUUUGCAUACAACAUGUAAUGAUUAAACACAUUCAGUGAAUAGAGUGCGGUUCUCUAUUCUUUUGAUAUUUUCUCUAAGUUCCCUUUAAGAGUGUAAUUUUGGGUUUCCAUUUCUCAAUUGUAAUGUACAUAUAAUUCUUACUAUGUCUUUGCAGUUUGCUCAACCGGAGGGGGAUGACAAGACUCUGUGUGUUGAUGAGUGGCCGUUUCUUCAAACAGAGUUUUGUGAGGUAAGGGAAUGGGGGAAAAAGAGAGCAUCUUGUAAUAAUUUAAUAUUUGGGUUUUGUUGUUAAUUAAAUUUGUAUGUAGCGCCACAAAAUACAGGCGUGUACAACACUAUGUUUGUUACUGUUUUAAAUAAACUACAUUAGCAGUAAGUUCUUUGAACUGCCCACUUUUCAAUUUUCAUACAAUUGUAUCUCAUGAUAAUUUUGCUCCCUUACCUCAUUGUAGAAGGUGAACCAGCCAACUGCUCGGGUUGUCUCUGGACAGAGAAAACAAGAGGAGCCAACACCUUGGGGGCCAAAAGUUGUGAUGGCCCAGGCUGAUAAACCAACAGCCAAUGAGACCAGCUUCUUGGGAUGUUCAACCAAGGUAAUGACAACAAUAUAAAAAAUGAUUUGCAAAGAAACUUUUACAUUUUUACUUCAUAAUUACAAUCAACAUAGUUGAACUGUUUUUAACAUGUUCUUGGUAAUAUCUACACACUAUGAAUUGGAAAUGUCAAGAAGGUUGGCUGAUGAACUUGUUGUGCUCAUUUUAAUUAUUUAAACUGAACUGAAAGAAAAGUUUUCUUUGUCCUUAAUUCUGUUCACCACAAUACACCAAAUGUCCCCUUUUCUAUGGCUUAUGAGUUUGCAUGU
Molecule: long non-coding RNA, 1142 nt
Filed under: Gadus morhua (Atlantic cod)
Lineage: Eukaryota; Metazoa; Chordata; Actinopteri; Gadiformes; Gadidae
Description: lncRNA (ENSGMOG00000022938.1)
Source: RNAcentral